CCAGGCUCCGCCCGGGGCGUCAGGGCUGCAGCCCCGGGAAGCAAAGUCCCUGAAAAAGCAGCUCGCCUUGCAGAAUCUUCCACAGCGUGUGCGCACGGAAUCGGAGCAGUAAAUAAUUGGCUCCACGGAGAAGACAUGUAGAAAGAGUCGGUGAUGGACAUUCAAAAGUCUGCCCAGGGUUGGGCUGUUACAAAGAGUUCUUCUGGAGAAGGCUUCACUCAGAAACGUUACCACCCUUGACACAUCGCCACAGCGGUUUUCAUCCAAAUAGGGGGUUGCUUCAGACUUGAUUCAUGCAGAAGACAUUGGAAGACUUGAAACAGUCCUUGGAGUUAAGAAACAAGAAUAUUCGAAGCAGAGUAUCAUCCACAGACUGUAAUCAGCGAAGACAAAUUUUCUUCGUGGACUCUUUGAGGAGCCGCCCUUGG
This is a long non-coding RNA of Equus quagga, 428 nucleotides long. RefSeq lists it as uncharacterized. The transcript has 3 exons. The record is from RefSeq and is a predicted model, not a curated record. NCBI's taxonomy places the organism in Eukaryota, Metazoa, Chordata, Mammalia, Perissodactyla, Equidae.